RNAcentral lists this long non-coding RNA (460 nucleotides) under Elaeis guineensis (African oil palm). RNAcentral's name for it is "long non-coding RNA (EGUI_LNC043589)". The record is from RNAcentral. Lineage: Eukaryota; Viridiplantae; Streptophyta; Magnoliopsida; Arecales; Arecaceae.
GCCAGUAGAGGAUGGAUUAAAAACUCUAAUCAUAUAUGUGCUAUGGUUGCUACCUAUAAAGGAUUAAAAACUCUUUGAUUUUAUAGGGCUAAGGCCAAGGUAGAGGAUAGAUUAAAAACUCUAAUCAUAUAUGUGCUAUGGUUGCUAUGGACAGCCACUAAUGAUAAGAGUUUUUCAGCAAAAGGUGUAUCUACCAUGGCCUCACCUACUAUUGAAACCAAUUAGCAAUUCAUCUUUACCAAUCUAUUGAGGCACUGGGGUAGUUCUCUGCAUUCCUCUUUAAAUCACCUUGAUAGAACCUUGGUGUCGUUGUUCCCUCCCUCCUUACGAAUGGUAAAGAUAAAGUCUGAUGCUUUGAUCAUCUUGGAUAAGGAGGCUGCUGGAUUCAUAACAAAAGACCACUAUGAUAGACUAUUAAGAGCUGGAGGAAAAUGUUUUCAUCCCUCUUCAAUCCCCCAUG